Manihot esculenta (cassava) is the source of this 1639-nucleotide RNA transcript. It is a transcript of the gene named nudix hydrolase 20, chloroplastic, with no coding region annotated. The record is from RefSeq and is a predicted model, not a curated record. The transcript is spliced from 10 exons. Lineage: Eukaryota; Viridiplantae; Streptophyta; Magnoliopsida; Malpighiales; Euphorbiaceae.
AUCGAGGCUUCAACGCUAAAAUCUUCCACCGGUCUUUGAGGGCCGCUGCUGUUGUUGUGUCAUAAUCUUCUUCGUCCGGUUAUCAGCUCCCAUGGACUGUUGUUUUUCUCACCGCCACCACCUCUUUUCAACCAAACUCCGUUUAUCCUAUUCUACCCUUUGCGUACCAAAACCCUUUAUAUCUCCUCCUAAAAGGCGGUCAACGGCACCGAGAUUUGCACUGCGCGCCCUCAUUUCUAGUACUAGAAACAGUAGCACCAGUACCAGUAGCUUCACUUGGGACGACGUCAUCCGAGUCUCUCAACCUGAUCAUGUCCCUCACGAUUCCUCAGAUCUCUCUGGCUUUUUCGAAAAGAUCGAAGUCUGCAAUCGCGGAUCUGAAAGGCAAUCUGAGUUUGUUCGAUUCGUUAUCGAAGGUCAAAUUGUUGGUUAUAUACAUAAGGGUUUUGUGGAUUAUUUGAGGACGUUCAAAGAUGUGUUUGUUUUCCCUCAAAGUAAUUAUAGUGGUCGCUCUGAGAGCUAUGUAACGUUACAUGAAAUGCUAAAGACGCCGGAGGAUAGAACCAGAGUUGUUGGAGAAGUUAUCAAAUGUUUAGGAGAAGAACUGAUUCCAGGUAUACGAAAUGAGCUGUACCCUGUGGUAUCAUCUUUUGGCUCCCCAGUCUACUUCUCAUUGGAGCGUGCUGCAGCUCCUUAUUUUGGAAUAAAGGUCUAUGGAAUUCAUAUGAAUGGCUUUGUUGAAAAAGAUGGGGAGAAAUUUCUAUGGAUUGGAAAGAGAAGUGAAGUGAAACCCACAUUUCCGGGGAUGCUCGAUCACCUUGUUGCUGGAGGACUGCCUUAUGGGAUCUCUUGUGGAGAGAAUGUUAUGAAGGAAUGUGAAGAGGAAGCAGGGAUACCUCAAUCCAUUUCACAUCAAGCUGUACCGGUUGGUGCUGUUUCUUAUGCAGACAUUGAAGGUUAUAGAUACAAGAGGGAUGUUCUAUUUUGUUAUGAUUUGAAACUUCCUGAUAGUUUUAUACCUAAUAAUCAAGAUGGAGAAGUGGAGAGUUUCAAGUUGAUCCCUGUAAAAAAUGUUGCAAAUGUUAUUCGGAGAACACAUUUUUUCAAGCCAAACUGUUCCCUUGUCAUCAUUCAUUUCUUGUUUCGGCAUGGGUAUAUUACUCCUGAAUGCAUGGGAUACUUGGAUCUUUUGCAGAGUUUGAGGAGGGGCGAUUGCUGCUAGAUAUUUUGGGUGGAAAUUACCCUUGGAUAAGUGACAUUCUUUCCUUGUAAUUUGUUCAUAUCAAAACAUAAUUCAUGACUAGCAAAGCAAUUACUGAACUUGCAUUGCAUAAAUGGUGGUCAAUUGUAUCACCCCAAUAUAUUUUGCCACAUUAACAGGCUCGCACUCAUUCCAGUGCUGCAAGUGACGUUCGUGUUGUCAAUUGUAUUCCUCCAUGCGGAAUAUGGCAGCUUUACAUCUAACUUGUGCCUUCACUUCUUAGGCCCUAUUGGGUAUUCAACUAUUGCUGGUUUGCUGAUUACAAUACUAUUCUUUUGAAAAGUCCUAAUUAGCAAAGCAUGUCUUCUAGUUGUUUGGUUAAAAUUGUGGUUUGACCAAAAAGGACUAGCUAUAAAUGCAGUAUCGUAAUUUUGUUAA